GACGAACGCUGGCGGCGUGCUUAACACAUGCAAGUCGAACGGAAAAGCCCUGCUUUCGUGGGGAGCUCGAGUCGCGAACGGGUGAGUAACCCGUGAGUCACCUGGCUUUGACUUUGGGACAACUUCAGGAAACUGGUGCUAAUACCUGAUAGCUGCUCGUGCUGCAUGGGGGGGGUCGGAAAGCUUCGGCGGUUGGGGAUGGACUCGCGGCUUAUCAGCUUGUUGGUGGGGUAGUGGCUUACCAAGGCAUUGACGGGUAGCCGGCCUGAGAGGGUGACCGGCCACAUUGGGACUGAGAUACGGCCCAGACUCCUACGGGAGGCAGCAGUGGGGAAUAUUGCACAAUGGGCGGAAGCCUGAUGCAGCGACGCCGCGUGCGGGAUGACGGCCUUCGGGUUGUAAACCGCUUUCACCUGUGACGAAGCGUGAGUGACGGUAAUAGGUAAAGAAGCACCGGCUAACUACGUG
This 468-nucleotide ribosomal RNA is filed under the name uncultured bacterium. RNAcentral describes it as "partial 16S ribosomal RNA". It matches the Rfam family "Bacterial small subunit ribosomal RNA", at positions 28 to 507 of the family's 1533-position model. The record is from RNAcentral.